GCGCCAGUUCUUCGUUGCCUUCGGCGUUCGGAUUUCUAAUCCGACGGUCAGUGGUUCGAGUCCACUCGGGCGUGCCA
This 77-nucleotide transfer RNA is filed under the name Planctomycetota bacterium. RNAcentral describes it as "tRNA-Ser". It matches the Rfam family "tRNA". From Rfam's summary of the family: Transfer RNA (tRNA) molecules are approximately 80 nucleotides in length. Lineage: Bacteria; Pseudomonadati; Planctomycetota. The record is from RNAcentral.